CUGCGAUUGGCUACUGUCCAAUAUGUUUUACAGUCUUCCACAAGGUCCCCUUGGGGAGUGUCCACCUUGUGGAGACCUGCAUAAAUACCGGGCAGGUAGCCCCCAUUAAACAGAUCUUUAUUUGACCCUCAAGACGGAGCUUAGUCUCGUUUGUGGGGGAAUUAUUACUGGGACAGCGCUUUCGUUAUUUUUAGCUGUGGAAGGCGUUCGACUGUUUGCUG
Pelobates cultripes (western spadefoot toad) is the source of this 221-nucleotide non-coding RNA. NCBI's taxonomy places the organism in Eukaryota, Metazoa, Chordata, Amphibia, Anura, Pelobatidae. The record is from the annotation of a GenBank genome assembly.